GCUAGCAGCUGUAUCACCCUGAAACUCAAAACUGGCAGCCCACUGGAGCUCAGCAGGUGUGAGCCUGGCCAGUACCUGAAGGGGAGACCUCCUGGGAAAGCUGAGGUUGCUGCUGGAU
RNAcentral lists this ribosomal RNA (118 nucleotides) under Lepisosteus oculatus (spotted gar). Lineage: Eukaryota; Metazoa; Chordata; Actinopteri; Semionotiformes; Lepisosteidae. The record is from RNAcentral.